This is a non-coding RNA of Chelmon rostratus (copperband butterflyfish), 549 nucleotides long. The record is from the annotation of a RefSeq genome assembly. Lineage: Eukaryota; Metazoa; Chordata; Actinopteri; Chaetodontiformes; Chaetodontidae.
AUGAUGCUGUUUAUCAGGGUUUUUGUACUGUGGCUCAGUGAGUUUGCAUCACUGUGGUACGCGUUCAGUGGAGGAACCAGACUGGAAGUUAACUUGGGUCGAAUCGUCCCCACCCUGACGGUGCUGCCCCCCUCCAUUGAGGAGCUGCAGCAGGGGAAGGCCACGUUCAUCUGUCUGGCCAACAAGGGCUCCCCCUCAGACUGGUCUCUGUCCUGGAAGGUGGGCGGCAGCAGAAGCAGCAGCAGCAGCUGGGAGGAGAGCAGGAGCCCCGGGGUGCUGCAGAGGGACAGCCACUACAGCUGGAGCAGCACCCUGAGGCUCCCUGCAGACACGUGGAGGAAGGUGGGCUCUGUGACCUGUGAGGCCACCCAGGGCUCCCAGACUCCACUGUCAAAGACUCUGAAGAGAGACCAGUGUUCCCAGUCCUGACCUGGCUCACUGGGACUCAGUGACUGGUUUCACUCUGCUGCACUGUCUCUCUCUCUCUUUGUCUUCAGAUCACUUUUUGAUGGCUUGCAGUAACGCUGAUAUCCUCUGUGUGUUGAAACA